RNAcentral lists this ribosomal RNA (585 nucleotides) under uncultured bacterium. Its description in RNAcentral is "partial 16S ribosomal RNA". It matches the Rfam family "Bacterial small subunit ribosomal RNA", at positions 355 to 935 of the family's 1533-position model. The record is from RNAcentral.
UGGGGAAUUUUGGACAAUGGGCGAAAGCCUGAUCCAGCAAUGCCGCGUGUGUGAAGAAGGCCUUCGGGUUGUAAAGCACUUUUGUCCGGAAAGAAAUCCUUGGCUCUAAUACAGUCGGGGGAUGACGGUACCGGAAGAAUAAGCACCGGCUAACUACGUGCCAGCAGCCGCGGUAAUACGUAGGGUGCAAGCGUUAAUCGGAAUUACUGGGCGUAAAGCGUGCGCAGGCGGUUUGCUAAGACCGAUGUGAAAUCCCCGGGCUCAACCUGGGAACUGCAUUGGUGACUGGCAGGCUAGAGUAUGGCAGAGGGGGGUAGAAUUCCACGUGUAGCAGUGAAAUGCGUAGAGAUGUGGAGGAAUACCGAUGGCGAAGGCAGCCCCCUGGGCCAAUACUGACGCUCAUGCACGAAAAGCGUGGGGAGCAAACAGGAUUAGAUACCCUGGUAGUCCACGCCCUAAAACGAUGUCAACUAGUUGUUGGGGGAUUCAUUUCCUUAGUAACGUAGCUAACGCGUGAAGUUGACCGCCUGGGGAGUACGGUCGCAAGAUUAAAACUUAAAUGAAUUGACGGGGUCAUAGCUGUUU